GGAUUCGUCUGGGGGUGAGAGUGGCGAAUGGGUGAGUAACACGUAGGUGACCUGCCCCAAAGUGGGGAAUAACCACUGGAAACGGUGGCUAAUACCCCAUGAGCUCGGCGGUUCGGUCCGUCGAGGAAAGCCCCGGCGCUUUGGGAGGGGCCUGCGGCCCAUCAGGUAGUUGGUAGGGUAAUGGCCUACCAAGCCAAUGACGGGUANGGGGCGUGAGAGCGUGAUCCCCCACACUGGCACUGAGACACGGGCCAGACUCCUACGGGAGGCAGCAGUGAGGAAUAUUGCCCAAUGGACGCAAGUCUGAGGCAGCAACGCCGCGUGGGCGAUGAAGGCCUUCGGGUUGUAAAGCCCUUUUCUGGGGGACGAGCAAGGACGGUACCUCAGGAAUAAGUCACGGCUAACUACGUGCCAGCAGCCGCGGUAAUACGUAGGUGGCCAGCGUUAUCCGGAUUUACUGGGCGUAAAGCGCGUGCAGGCGGUUCCAUGAGUCGGACGUGAAAGCUCCUGGCUUAACUGGGAGAGGCCGUUCGAUACUGUGGGGCUUGAGGUCGGGAGAGGGACGUGGAAUUCCCGGUGUAGUGGUGGAAUGCGUAGAUAUCGGGAGGAACACCAGUGGCGAAGGCGGCGUCCUGGCCCGCACCUGACGCUAAGACGCGAAAGCGUGGGGAGCAAACAGGCUUAGAUACCCUGGUAGUCCACGCUGUAAACGGUGGAUACUAGGUGUUGGCGACUACCGUCGUCAGUGCCGUAGCUAACGCGUUAAGUAUCCCGCCUGGGGACUACGGUCGCAAGGCUAAAACUCAAAGGAAUUGACGGGGGCCCGCACAAGCAGCGGAGCGUGUGGUUUAAUUCGAGGCAACGCGAAGAACCUUACCUGGGCUUGACAUGUACGUAGUAGUGAAGCGAACGCGGAACGAUCUCUCGGGAAGCGUGCACAGGUGCUGCAUGGCUGUCG
This 958-nucleotide ribosomal RNA is filed under the name uncultured Chloroflexota bacterium. RNAcentral's name for it is "bacterial SSU rRNA". It matches the Rfam family "Bacterial small subunit ribosomal RNA", at positions 76 to 1054 of the family's 1533-position model. The record is from RNAcentral. Lineage: Bacteria; Bacillati; Chloroflexota.